UGGGUCGAUGCUGACCACUGGUGCCGUAUGAGUCAGAGGCAAUGAAUAUGUGCUAGAACUCUGGGGUCCAA
Small nucleolar RNA from Heterocephalus glaber (naked mole-rat), 71 nucleotides. The record is from Ensembl. NCBI's taxonomy places the organism in Eukaryota, Metazoa, Chordata, Mammalia, Rodentia, Bathyergidae.